Molecule: long non-coding RNA, 1161 nt
Organism: Olea europaea var. sylvestris
Lineage: Eukaryota; Viridiplantae; Streptophyta; Magnoliopsida; Lamiales; Oleaceae
Exons: 3
Source: RefSeq, a predicted model, not a curated record
UUCUAUUUAAGCAAGAGCCAUAAACCCUAAUUCUCAUCAUAUCUUCUAUUCCUCUCGCCCUGUAUAUCUACGUGUAUAGAUGUGUUCGUCAGGUAAAUUUGCAAGACAUUUAUAAAAUUUUGAUUGAUAAUUAUAUUUGCCUCUUCUUCAGAAUCCUUUAAAAUGUCACGAUUUGGGUUCUCUAUUUGAUGUAUAUACUCGUCAAGGGGCAGAAAGUUUAUGCAGGAGAGUUGAGUCGCUUCGCCACAGUACUGUUACGCCAGGGUACAUGAGGUGUGGGUUUUGGAUGAAGCUUCAAGUUUGUUCUCGGUUAUGCCAUUGAGGAAUGUGAUUUCUUUGACUGCAAUGAUAUUAGAGUACUAGCAGAAUAGGGAAAUAUAGGGAGGCUUUGAAAAUUUACUUGGAAAUGGAGGGGAGGAUUGAAGCUUAUGCACGAGCUAAUGGUUAUUUCAAGAAUAUGUUUGUCUGCAAUCAGUGCUGGAAUUGCACACAAGAUGUGGUAGAAUUGAGAGAGCAUUGCAAGUGUUUGAUGACAUCACUGAACGUAGAAAUUUCAUUCUUGGAAUACCAUGAUCAUGGGUUUAGCAGUCCAUGGAAAAAGUGAUAAAGUUGCAAUGUAUAAUCAAAUGCUGGGAAAAGGAAUAACACCAGACGAUGUCACAUUUAUGGACAAUAUUAGCAUGCACACAUGGAGGCUUGGUUAAAAAGAAUCACGGACUCUUCAAUUUAAUGAACAAGUUCUCCAUUAAUCCAAAGCGAGAACAUUAUGGAUGCACAGCUGAUCUAGGUCGUGAAGGAGAACUGCAAGAAGCUUAUGGUCUUGUACAGACUAUGCUGAUGAAACCUGAUUCCAUUGUUUGGGGAACUCUGCUUGGGUCGUGCAGUUUCUAUAGCAGUGUCAAGCUCGCUGAGAAAACUGCUGAGUUUCUCUUUAAGUUGGAGCCAUGGAGUCCAUGUAAUUACGUGAUUCUUUCCAAUGUCUAGGCAAGCGCAGGCAAGUGGGAUGGAGUUGCACAGUUGAGGAAGCCUGUGAAAGGCUCAAAUAUCAGAAAAGCAGACGGUUAUAACUUCAUUGAGGAAGGAGGCAAGAUUCAUAUAAAUUCAUAGUAGAUGAUAAAUCUCAUCCUAGUCUGAUCUGAUAUUUGCAGUUUUAGAUUAUUU